This 449-nucleotide ribosomal RNA is filed under the name uncultured bacterium. RNAcentral's name for it is "bacterial SSU rRNA". It matches the Rfam family "Bacterial small subunit ribosomal RNA", at positions 9 to 477 of the family's 1533-position model. The record is from RNAcentral.
GAGUUUGAUCCUGGCUCAGGAUUAACGCUGGCGGCGUGCCUAAUACAUGCAAGUCGAACGGAAGUACCUUCGGGUACUUUAGUGGCGAACGGGUGAGUAAUACAUAGGUAACCUACCCUUAAGACGAGGAUAGCCAUUGGAAACGAUGGAUAAAACUGGAUAGGAUAUAGAGGAAGAAUCUUUUAUAUUUAAAAGAGAGAUCUGCUUAAGGAGGGGCCUGUGGCGCAUUAGCUAGUUGGUGGGGUAAGGGCCUACCAAGGCGAUGAUGCGUAGCCGGACUGAGAGGUUGAACGGCCACAAUGGAACUGAGAACGGUCCAUACUCCUACGGGAGGCAGCAGUAGGGAAUUUUCGGCAAUGGGGGGAACCCUGACCGAGCAACGCCGCGUGAACGAAGAAGUUAUUCGUAGAGUAAAGUUCUUUAUCAGGGAAGAAAGAGAAUUGACGGUA